This 2114-nucleotide long non-coding RNA is filed under the name Homo sapiens (human). RNAcentral describes it as "HSALNT0214597". The record is from RNAcentral. Lineage: Eukaryota; Metazoa; Chordata; Mammalia; Primates; Hominidae.
AGGCCAGGAGUUUGAGGCUGCAGUGAGCUAUGAUCGCACCACUGCACUCCAGCCUGGGUGACAGAGUAGGACCCUGUCUCAAAAAAGAAAUCAACCAAUAUUUAUGGAGUAUCUACAAUGUAGAAGGUUCGGUUUCUUUUUUCAACACAAUUUUUUUUUCCUCUGGUUGAGUUGUCUCCAUUUUUUAUUUUUAAAUUAAAGAAAUAUCAUUAUGGAACACUAAUGAUCUUAAAUAUCAGGGCUUAUCUCCAAGCUCUCCUUUGUAUGUAUUCUGUUACAUUCUUUGAAGAAUACAAGGAUUUAGAAGAAAAUGACUUUUAAAAAACCUAUCUGACUCACUCAAACAAAAUUGCUCACUUUCCUGAUCUAUUGUUGCUUUUCUGGUCUUUGGAAAGAGAUGAUGUCUUCUACCCGGCCUUGGAUUUUUUUCUUUUUUGUCCUUCCUUUUUUUUUGGUGGGGGCAAUUUUUGGAAGUAAAUGUCACAAUCGAUCAGUCAAUCUGAGUAGGCAUGGUCUAGUCUGUCCUAAGUAUUUUAUAUGAGUACCAUUUGACAAAGUCAGAAUUCUAUAAUGAUUCUUAACAUUUUUUUUUUUUUUUUUGAGAUAGUCUCAUUCUGUCACUCAGGCUGGAGUGCAGUGGCGUGAUCUUGGCUCACUGCAAUCUCUGCCUUCCGGGUUCAAGUGAUUCUCGUGCCUCAGCCUCUGGAGUAGCUGGGACUACAGGCGUGUGCCACCACACCUAGCUAAUUUUUGUAUUUUUUGUAGAGAUGGAGUUUCACCACGUUGGUCAGGCUGGUCUCGAACUCCUAGCCUCAAGUGAUCCACCCGUCUUGGCCUCCCAAAGGGCUGUGAUUACAGGCGUGAGCUGCCAUGCCAGGCAGAUUUUUAACACUUCUAAAAAGUUGUAACUCUUGAGACAAGUCCACUGUGACCUCAGAUGUAUAUACAUCCACAUCUCUAAGAGUCUCCUGGUUACUAGGGAAUUCCGCACAAGUUCCUCACAAAAUUCACAAGCAAGAAUAUUUAGAAUCAUGAAAUUCUAAAUCUGGGAAGAACCAGAGAAAGUCCAUCUGGUCUAACUUUUACAUUUUCCAGAUAAGAAAACUAAGUCCCGAGAAGGGACUAGUUAGGGAAAGAGCAGGCUUUUAGACUGCUCUUUCCUUUGACCUUUGAAAACAUUUUAAUCAAAGAACAAUCAUAAUAAGGGGAGUAGAGGAAUGUUAUCAUUCACAGGGCUUCCAAGUGACUGUGGAAAAUCUUGGGAGGCUUUGCUUUGGACUUUGUUAUCCAUUUAGGGACUGGCUGUUCUGAAUUGUUCUCUGUGCUAGGCCUUAUCUAAACCGCUUGCCUUAAAUCUUUGACCUUCAUUUAAAUUGCUGACACUUUCCCCUUGUGAAACUGUAUCAUAAUUUCUUCUGUCUUCUUUAGGCUAGCAGCAUUUCCCUUUCUUAUUCCCAGAAGAGCUCAGAGAAGCUUAUUUUUUUAGAUGAGUGAUGCAUAAAAAGGAAUGUGGCUGCACAAUUCUAAUUAUUUCAUAAAGUUCUGAGGUAUUUUUAGGGUGUUGCAAAGUGCUAAUAAAAAAUAAUCAUAUUCAUGGACAUACAGAGUGGAAUAAUAGACACUGGAGACUCCACAAAGUGGGAGGGCAGUGAGGGAUGAGAAAUUACCUGUUGGGUACAUCGUAUACUACUCAGGUGACAGUCACACUAAAAGCCCAGACUCCACCACUGUGCAAUAUAUACAUGUAACAAAAAUGUACCCUUUAAAUCUAUAAAAAAUAAAUCCUUUCUAGCCCAGUUUGCUAAGGGUUUUUUUUUUCAUGAAGAACAUUUAUAAUAAACUCUUUGUUCUGCAUAAAAAAGGAAUAAUGUUUAUGUCUUUAUUUCCCAUUAUGUGACUUUUAGGCUGCUUUCUAAAAUUUUGAUUUCUUUUCUUCAGGUGGUUAAAACAGUAUGAUUGGACUUGUUUAGAGCAUGGUGCUCUUUCACAGAAAGAGAAACUUGUUCCAAGGCUUCAGCAGUAUCCUAACCCCCUAACCCAGCUGGCCGUCUAGCAAAUAUUCACAGCAUACAAGUUUCGAAAGUCAGAAUGGCUCGGUGGGAGCCUAUGGUGUC